RNAcentral lists this ribosomal RNA (665 nucleotides) under fungal endophyte. RNAcentral's name for it is "eukaryotic LSU rRNA". The stretch from base 182 to 335 matches the Rfam family "5.8S ribosomal RNA". The record is from RNAcentral. Lineage: Eukaryota; Fungi.
CAUUAAAGAGUUCUAUAACUCCCAAACCCAUGUGAACAUACCUAACGUUGCCUCGGCAGGUCGCACCUACCUUGUAGCACCCUACCCUGUAGGGCCUACCCGGGAGGUGCGGGUAAGCCUGCCGGCGGCCCACCAAACUCUGUUUGAUAUUGAAUUCUGAACCUAUAACUAAAUAAGUUAAAACUUUCAACAACGGAUCUCUUGGUUCUGGCAUCGAUGAAGAACGCAGCGAAAUGCGAUAAGUAAUGUGAAUUGCAGAAUUCAGUGAAUCAUCGAAUCUUUGAACGCAUAUUGCGCCCAUUAGUAUUCUAGUGGGCAGGACCGUUCGAGCGUCAUUUCAACCCUUAAGCCUUCGUUGCUUAGUGUUGGGAGCCUACGGCAACGUAGCUCCUCAAAGUUAGUGGCGGAGUUGGUUCACACUCUAGACGUAGUAAUUUUUUAUCUCGCCUAUUAGUUGGACUAAUCCCCUGCCGUAAAACCCCCAAUCUAUAUCAAGGUUGACCUCGAAUCGGUUCAGACAAACUCGCUAAAUUGAAGCAUCUUAGUCAGCGAAGGAAAAGAAACCAACAGGGAUUGCCCUAGUAACGGCGAGUGAAGCGGCAACAGCUCAAAUUUGAAAUCUGGCCCUCGGGUCCGAGUUGUAAUUUGUAGAGGAUGCUUUUGGC